AGUCUCUCGAAACCGCACCUUUUUCUUUCGAAAGGGGGAGCGGCCUUCGGAUUUGGACGCCUGCCGCGCGCGCGCCCUUCGGGGUUUCGCGGCUCGUCUCUAAACGCAUUAGCGAACCGCCCACGUCCGCUCUCAGACGCGAUAAGCUUGCGUCGUCAACGAGCGGUCGCGUCGGGUUGCCCGUCCGCUGCUAAAAAAGAACCUAAUUUCACCG
RNAcentral lists this unclassified non-coding RNA (214 nucleotides) under uncultured Agaricomycetes. Its description in RNAcentral is "sequence contains ITS2". The record is from RNAcentral. Lineage: Eukaryota; Fungi; Basidiomycota; Agaricomycetes.